UUGAAAAUAUUUUAUCGAAUAAUAAUCCAAAAAGAAACGUACAAUAACGCACAUUGGCAAAUGUCAACAAUGAUUAUAUUUGCCAAAUUGCGUAUAAUAAUAGUUAACACCCCGGCUUACGCUACCCUAUAUUGCGGUUUUUCGUUUUGAUAAGCGCGGUUUGGUUUACGACCUUUUUGAAAGUGUUCCGUGUAGAUCUGGCCAAAGACCAAAAAUCAUUUGAGGAAGAAGAACGAAAAACACCAUUAGCAGACUAAACUAAUACUUUAAUAAUAAUAAUAAAAUCAGAGACUUAAUCAAAAAUAUAAAUUUGUUAAUUGUUAAAGGAAUUUGACCUACGUCACGGUAUUAGCGCUCAUUGGAAAACAAUGCUACAAUUAUUAUGGUGUGACCAAGAAAUACUUAAAGCUUGUCCUGCUUAAAACACCGCGUGCUUACAAGCAAAAAAUUAAUAGAUUAAAGCUAGUAACGGCUGGUUCAGCCUAUUUAAAAAUCGUUGUAUUUGGAUUUUGGAAUAGCAUCGCAAAAGUUAAAGUAACGACAAGUGCUGACAAAUCGCGUCUCAUGAUGAGGCUACGAUGGACCAGAGAUUUAUUAAGGUUUUGCACAUCUUAAUGAAGCUGUUUGACAAAAUAGCAAAAAGACGAAAUGAAGGAAUUCCACGUUUUUGACAGUAUUAAGGACUUCUCAAGCGGGAUUAGUAUUUAUUCGAGCGCGACAAUAAGAUUUCAGAAAAACUUUGCAUUUGAUUGUUAGCAUUAGAUGCAACCCAGGAACUGAAGACAUCCCUGAAAAUAUAAAUAUGCUUUAGAUAAAUCUUCUUAAGUAUAUAGAACCUA
Pieris brassicae (large cabbage white) is the source of this 839-nucleotide long non-coding RNA. RefSeq lists it as uncharacterized. The record is from RefSeq and is a predicted model, not a curated record. The transcript has 3 exons. Lineage: Eukaryota; Metazoa; Arthropoda; Insecta; Lepidoptera; Pieridae.